GCUUAACUCCGGGCGUGCAGGCGAUACGGGCAUAACUUGAGUACUGUAGGGGAGACUGGAAUUCCUGGUGUAGCGGUGAAAUGCGCAGAUAUCAGGAGGAACACCGAUGGCGAAGGCAGGUCUCUGGGCAGUUACUGACGCUGAGGAGCGAAAGCAUGGGUAGCGAAUAGGAUUAGAUACCCUGGUAGUCCAUGCCGUAAACGGUGGGCGCUAGGUGUGGGGGUCUUCCACGACUUCCGUGCCGUAGCUAACGCAUUAAGCGCCCCGCCUGGGGAGUACGGCCGCAAGGCUAAAACUCAAAGGAAUUGACGGGGGCCCGCACAAGCGGCGGAGCAUGUGGAUUAAUUCGAUACAACGCGAAGAACCUUACCUGGGCUUGACAUAUGCAGGAUCGGCACAGAGAUGUGUUUUCCCUUGUGGUCUGUAUACAGGUGGUGCAUGGUUGUCGUCAGCUCGUGUCGUGAGAUGUUGGGUUAAGUCCCGCAACGAGCGCAACCCUUGUCUUGUGUUGCCAGCACGUUAUGGUGGGGACUCGCGAGAGACUGCCGGGGUUAACUCGGAGGAAGGUGGGGAUGACGUCAAAUCAUCAUGCCCCUUAUGUCCAGGGCUUCACACAUGCUACAAUGGUCGGUACAGUG
This 638-nucleotide ribosomal RNA is filed under the name uncultured bacterium. RNAcentral describes it as "bacterial SSU rRNA". It matches the Rfam family "Bacterial small subunit ribosomal RNA", at positions 607 to 1244 of the family's 1533-position model. The record is from RNAcentral.